RNAcentral lists this ribosomal RNA (442 nucleotides) under Arion ater ater. Its description in RNAcentral is "partial 16S ribosomal RNA". It matches the Rfam family "Bacterial large subunit ribosomal RNA", at positions 1832 to 2597 of the family's 2925-position model. Lineage: Eukaryota; Metazoa; Mollusca; Gastropoda; Stylommatophora; Arionidae. The record is from RNAcentral.
AGCCUAAUGACAUUACAUUAGGUAAAGUCUGCCCGGUGAUUAAUUAAACGGCCGCAGUACUUUGACUGUGCUAAGGUAGCAAAAUAAAUAGGCCUUUAAUUUAGGUCGAGUAUGAAUGGCAUUAUGGGUGAAAGCUGUCUUAUAUAUAAUAUAUAAAUUUACUUAGUGGGUGAAAAUGCCCACAUUUAAAUAUUAGACGAGAAGACCCUUAGAGUUUUUUAAUAAGCAUGCACUAAUUGCGAUCAUGAUUUUUUUUGUUGGGGCGACAUAGUAUCAUAUAGCAUACUACACACACAUGGUACAAAUCUUUUUUAUAAAUGAAUAUAACUACCUAAGGGAUAACAGCAUAAUUUUAUUUUUAAGAUUGUGACCUCGAUGUUGGACUAGGGACUAAAUAUAUAAGCCAUAUAUUUAGAAUAUUCUGUUCGAAUAACUUUUACCU